CCCCUGUAGAAGCCAUGCAAAAUGAACGGUGAACUAUAAUUAUUAUUAUUUUUUUGAAGAUAUCAUUAUAUAUAACGGAUAACAAAUGUGUCGGGUUUUGUGAUUGGAUAACAACACAAAGAUGUCAAUAUAUAAUCAGGAAAUUGCCGGGGUGUAUACGACAUUUUAAUUCCCAAUUAGAACCUUAAAAACUUCCUUAUAACAUAUGUUAUUAUGUGACAAAGUCAAAAGCUAUAAAGAACACAAGAAAUGUGAGAGGCUCACAGUGAACAAAAAAGACGC
This 282-nucleotide long non-coding RNA is filed under the name Mytilus galloprovincialis (Mediterranean mussel). Lineage: Eukaryota; Metazoa; Mollusca; Bivalvia; Mytilida; Mytilidae. The record is from RNAcentral.